AAGUCGUAACAAGGUUUCCGUAGGUGAACCUGCGGAAGGAUCAUUAACACGUAUCCAACGUUAAAACAACCCCCGUUUCAGCUUGCUCCUGUAGCCCGUGAAAACAGCAAUCCCUGGUAAAUCAUUGUUGACCAGCUUUUGAGUCAGGGACCUCUGCCGAUUGUGAUAUUUUCUAGCUACGGUUGAGCGAUUGCAUCUAGUGACCUGGCAUCCCCAAGUAAUCAGUGUCUGAAAACGCAGUCACGAUCGCUGUAGACCCACAGGCCGGCGACCGGGUCACCGGGCUCUGCCCUUACGACAACACAGUACGAAUUGGCCGCGCGUGAAAUUCGCACGGCACCAAAAACCGAACAACUGUUAACAAUGGAUAUCUUGGUUCUC
Molecule: unclassified non-coding RNA, 381 nt
Filed under: fungal sp.
Lineage: Eukaryota; Fungi
Description: partial internal transcribed spacer region
Rfam family: Eukaryotic small subunit ribosomal RNA (bases 1-46)
Source: RNAcentral